This 551-nucleotide ribosomal RNA is filed under the name Rhodotorula mucilaginosa. Its description in RNAcentral is "LSU rRNA". It matches the Rfam family "Eukaryotic large subunit ribosomal RNA", at positions 90 to 658 of the family's 3401-position model. Lineage: Eukaryota; Fungi; Basidiomycota; Microbotryomycetes; Sporidiobolales; Sporidiobolaceae. The record is from RNAcentral.
CGAGCGAGCGGGAAGAGCUCAAAUUUAUAAUCUGGCACCUUCGGUGUCCGAGUUGUAAUCUCUAGAAAUGUUUUCCGCGUUGGACCGCACACAAGUCUGUUGGAAUACAGCGGCAUAGUGGUGAGACCCCCGUAUAUGGUGCGGACGCCCAGCGCUUUGUGAUACAUUUUCGAAGAGUCGAGUUGUUUGGGAAUGCAGCUCAAAUUGGGUGGUAAAUUCCAUCUAAAGCUAAAUAUUGGCGAGAGACCGAUAGCGAACAAGUACCGUGAGGGAAAGAUGAAAAGCACUUUGGAAAGAGAGUUAACAGUACGUGAAAUUGUUGGAAGGGAAACGCUUGAAGUCAGACUUGCUUGCUGAGCAAUCGGUUUGCAGGCCAGCAUCAGUUUUCCGGGAUGGAUAAUGGUAGAGAGAAGGUAGCAGUUUCGGCUGUGUUAUAGCUCUCUGCUGGAUACAUCUUGGGGGACUGAGGAACGCAGUGUGCCUUUGGCGGGGGUUUCGACCUCUUCACACUUAGGAUGCUGGUGGAAUGGCUUUAAACGACCCGUCUUGAA